UCAGGAUGAACGCUAGCGGCAGGCUUAACACAUGCAAGUCGAGGGGCAGCGCGAGUAGCAAUACUUGGCGGCGACCGGCGCAAGGGUGCGUAACGCGUGAGCAACAUGCCCGUAUCAGGGGGAUAAUCCAGGGAAACUUGGUCUAAUACCCAUAGUAAUUUUGUAAGGCAUCUUAUAAGAUUUAAAGCUUUGGUGGAUACGGAUUGGCUCGCGUGACAUUAGCUGGAUGGUAAGGUAACGGCUUACCAUGGCUAUGAUGUCUAGGGGUUCUGAGAGGAAGGUCCCCCCACACUGGAACUGAGACGCGGUCCAGACUCCUACGGGAGGCAGCAGUGAGGAAUAUUGGACAAUGGAUGGAAAUCUGAUCCAGCCAUGCCGCGUGAAGGAAGAAAGGUCCUAUGGAUUGUAAACUUCUUUUGUAUGGGAGCAAUAAGGCCUACGAGUAGGUUGAUGAGAGUACCAUACGAAUAAGCACCGGCUAACUCCGUGCCAGCAGCAGC
Molecule: ribosomal RNA, 500 nt
Filed under: uncultured bacterium
Lineage: Bacteria
Description: bacterial SSU rRNA
Rfam family: Bacterial small subunit ribosomal RNA
Source: RNAcentral